AGCGUGCGCAGGCGGUUAUGUAAGACAGAUGUGAAAUCCCCCGGGCUCAACCUGGGAACUGCAUUUGUGACUGCAUGGCUAGAGUACGGUAGAGGGGGAUGGAAUUCCGCGUGUAGCAGUGAAAUGCGUAGAUAUGCGGAGGAACACCGAUGGCGAAGGCAAUCCCCCUGGACCUGUACUGACGCUCAUGCACGAAAGCGUGGGGAGCAAACAGGAUUAGAUACCCGUGU
This 230-nucleotide ribosomal RNA is filed under the name uncultured bacterium. RNAcentral describes it as "partial 16S ribosomal RNA". It matches the Rfam family "Bacterial small subunit ribosomal RNA", at positions 564 to 791 of the family's 1533-position model. The record is from RNAcentral.